This 380-nucleotide ribosomal RNA is filed under the name uncultured eukaryote. RNAcentral's name for it is "partial 18S ribosomal RNA". It matches the Rfam family "Eukaryotic small subunit ribosomal RNA", at positions 592 to 976 of the family's 1831-position model. The record is from RNAcentral.
CAAUAGCGUAUAUUAAAGUUGUUGCAGUUAAAGAGCUCGUAGUUGGAUUUGUGGCGUACGGUGUGUUCCGGGCACUUGUUGUCUGAGUAACCUGCUGUUGCCAUCCUUGGGUGGAACCUGUGUGGCAUUAGGUUGUCGUGCAGGGGAUGCCCAUCAUUUACUGUGAAAAAAUUAGAGUGUUCAAAGCAGGCUUAUGCCGUUGAAUAUAUUAGCAUGGAAUAAUGAGAUAGGACUUUUUUGCUAUUUUGUUGGUUUGCGCAAAGAGGUAAUGAUUAAUAGGGACAGUUGGGGGUAUUCGUAUUCCAUUGUCAGAGGUGAAAUUCUUGGAUUUUUGGAAGACGAACUACUGCGAAAGCAUUUACCAAGGAUGUUUUCAUUAA